RNAcentral lists this long non-coding RNA (342 nucleotides) under Glycine max (soybean). Its description in RNAcentral is "long non-coding RNA (GMAX_LNC001731)". The record is from RNAcentral. Lineage: Eukaryota; Viridiplantae; Streptophyta; Magnoliopsida; Fabales; Fabaceae.
ACGUGAAUAGUAUCAGAUACCAGUAUGUGUCAUUGGAUAUAUUAGUUUCUGUUUCUUGCGCAUGCAUUAGCUACUUUAUCGGAUCUUCAAUCAUUUUCCACCGAAAUAGUAUCAGAACCAAUUUUUGGGUUUUAUGCUGUACACACGAAACAUGCAUGUUGAUGUUCUAACGAAGAAGAAAAAGAAUAAUAAUAAGAAGAUGAAGAAGAAGAAGAAGAAGAGAAGAUGAGGAAUAUGAAUACGACCUUUGCAUUUGAGAACGUGAUGGCUUAGCUAGUGCCAGAUAUCAGGCUAGCUAUCACCUCGAUGUUGACGUGCCAUGUGCACCCUGCGCAAUUCAAG